AGAAGAUUAGUUAAAUUAUAACAUUAAUUUGUCAAAUUAAAAUUACAAUUGUAUUUUCUA
Molecule: transfer RNA, 60 nt
Filed under: Pseudoniphargus longipes
Lineage: Eukaryota; Metazoa; Arthropoda; Malacostraca; Amphipoda; Allocrangonyctidae
Description: tRNA-Asp
Source: RNAcentral